Molecule: long non-coding RNA, 287 nt
Filed under: Pan troglodytes (chimpanzee)
Lineage: Eukaryota; Metazoa; Chordata; Mammalia; Primates; Hominidae
Description: long non-coding RNA NONPTRT009926
Source: RNAcentral
UUUAGAUUUUUUUUUUAUUUUUUAAAUUGUUACACUAGUGCAGAUUGUUUCUCCCAUUAUAGGGUUUGCAGUCAUGAAAAGUGUUGAUAGGGAUUAUAUCCAUGAAAAUAUUUCUAGAACAUUCAUUCAUUUUAUAUUAACAGCUUGCAUUGGUGUGGUACAUUUGUUGCAAUUGAUGAACCAGUAUUGGUACAGCAUUAUUCACAUUUUGAGUUCUCAAAUUCUGAAACUUUUUUUUAUCAACACAUAACCAUACGUGAUAUCUCAGAAUUAAAUAUUCAGCAUGU